This 110-nucleotide transfer RNA is filed under the name Candidatus Bathyarchaeota archaeon. Its description in RNAcentral is "tRNA-OTHER". It matches the Rfam family "tRNA". Rfam says of the family: Transfer RNA (tRNA) molecules are approximately 80 nucleotides in length. Their secondary structure includes four short double-helical elements and three loops (D, anti-codon, and T loops). Further hydrogen bonds mediate the characteristic L-shaped molecular structure. tRNAs have two regions of fundamental functional importance: the anti-codon, which is responsible for specific mRNA codon recognition, and the 3' end, to which the tRNAs corresponding amino acid is attached (by aminoacyl-tRNA synthetases). tRNAs cope with the degeneracy of the genetic code in two manners: having more than one tRNA (with a specific anti-codon) for a particular amino acid; and 'wobble' base-pairing, i.e. permitting non-standard base-pairing at the 3rd anti-codon position. The record is from RNAcentral. Lineage: Archaea; Thermoproteati; Candidatus Bathyarchaeota. RNAcentral also lists the same sequence under 1 other name.
GGGCCCGUAGCUCAGCCUGGAUAGAGCGGCAGUCAAUUCUUGGCCGAUCCCCCUAUGCCUUGAGCGGGUUGAGCUGUAGGUCCGGGGUUCGAAUCCCCGCGGGCCCGCCA